CGCCGCCGCCUCCCGUGCCCUCCCUCAGAGGGGCCGCGCCCCCCGAGGGCCUGCGGGUCCGGCACACCCCCGCGGACCCCACGGGCCUGGGGGCACCUUCUUGCCCCGGGGCCGGGCACCGAGGGGGAGGAAGAUGCCGGGUAGCGGCAGGGAAGGGGUGCCGGCGGUGCUGUAGCUGACCGAGAUGCUUCGGGGUGCAGGAGGUUGGCUUGUGGCGCUCAGUUGGGCUGGGGAGCGGUCCCGCUGAAGAGAUGACCCCUUGGGACACCCUGCCCGUGCUGUUGGCCCAACGGGGAGGCUGCAGAAGCUCUCUGCAGCACAGAGCAGCACAGUCCGACACGGAGCUGCACCCGGUCUGCUGCCAGCGGCAUCUUGUGGAACCACUACACUAAUCCUAAGGAUCCAGGUUUAUGUUAAGCAAUAUUUGCAUCACACCCUUCAUCCCAUCUACUAUUUGAGUGAGCUGAGCUUCUCAUAUAGCACGUGAAGAGAAUAAAUUUGUGGUUCGUGGUUUAAGGGCAUGGCUUUAUAGGUAACUGCGCCAAUGAGGAUAACUUGGGAAAGAUGGGUUUUCAGAUGUUCACCCCCUUCUGUGGGGCCUCUCCAUGUACAUCUCUAAGGAUCCCUGGGGAUCAACAUUGACUUUCAAGUUUGUUAGACAAGGGAAUGCCAGAUGGCCAAGGGCGAGAGGAAAGUCACAGGUACUUUGUGUUUAGAAACAGAACUGCUUUCAGCAGCACAGGAAUACUGAAUACCUUAUUGAAUGCUUCGUGAGUUUAGAAAAGUUAUAUAGACAAAAUACGACCUCUGCUUCCUCCUUCAUUUGUGCAUCAAUGUGAUCUAUCAGAGCAAUGCUGCAUGGGCUCAGAGGGGUUUGCGGAUCACAGGGACUUGGCAUUCCUGACCUGCUUAACACAUAGCAUCCAUAUACUCUGUUUUGGAUGUGAAUGGGUGAAAGCAUUAAUGUGGGAGAAUCCAAGUGAAAAACUGAGGGUGAUGUCUGGUAGGGAGCACACCAUGGGUGCUGUCAGGAUAUAGGAGACACACAGAAUGCAUGGAUUAGUCAUGUACUUUGGAAAUAAUACUACAUAGACACACAGGAGUUCUACUCUGGGAUCUUGAUUUCCGUCUGGGAGGCUGCAGCUCUGAGCUCAGUGUUUGCAGAGAGUGUUUACUAUUUAGUGUUUAUGUGACUGGUUCUAACAGACGACACCUGCAACUGUUGACAUCUUUUCAGUCUUUGAGAUAAGGAUAUUUUCUUACAGCUGCUAUUCAUCCCUUGCCCUAAGUCCAGCUGUACACAGUGCUUUCUAUACAUGUGAUGCUCUGCUACAAAUGCAAGGCCUGAAGCUUCUCAUGGCAGCAGAAAGAGUUGCUGCUGAAGUAUUUUAUCUGCAAUAGAGGUAGCUGUUGUAAAAUGGCAGAGCUGUGGGGUUUGUGUCUGGUACAUGUCUGGUGAAGUCUAUAGGCUUGUGAGUACAACAAACUCCAGCUGAACAGUUUGCUCAUCAGCAGACCUGAACGGGGAAGUCAACAGGCAAGUUUGUGAGAUGUGCUGUUAUAUUUGAUCACUUUCUGAAGAUUUUCAAGUGGAGCAGCCAAGGCCAGAGAUGGACCUUCUUGGAUGCCAUCUCCUAACUUGUAUGCCAUGGAAGUCAGCACCUCCCCAUUGCAGAUCCAUGCUGGUGGUGUAGUGGAGAGGGAUUAGGCAAAGACUGUACUUUUGCAAAUUCCAAAUAUAAAUCUACCACGAGGCUUAAAAAUGUGCUCCCUGAGUGGAUAAGCUAGGUUAAUAGUGUGCUGAAAGAAAGGAGGGAGGUUAAUAUCCAACAUUUAUUGGCAGUGAGGCUGCUGGCUGACUUACUACUGACAAAACCAGGCAGGGAUGAAAGAGCAGCAUACCCCACUCAAACAUAUAUAAUAUCUUCAUUGCAUGUGAAGAGAUGUGCUUGGUUAAGCAUGAUGCCUCACCUGCAGAUGCAUCUUGUCUCGUAGGAAAGGAAACUGUCUGCUAGUUUUGGGUGAUCACAACGUGCAAGGGAAGAAACUCGGAGAAGUGAGUUGGUUGCAUACUAUUUUUGGCUGAGGGGUCAGGCAGUAACAGAGAUCAAACAUUCUACUGAAUACCCCAACACUGCCAGCUACCAACAAAAAAGCUAGAAUAUCCUCCUUCCUUUCUGUAACAGAGUUAUACUAAUACAAAUUGUGAAUAGAAAAUAACAGAUUUUCAGUCUUGGGCUGUUAAGUGUUUGGAGGUAUCUUUUUUGUUACCUGUGCACACAAGUUCAAGACAUUAUCACAUUAUAGCUACAUAUUUUAAAAAAAAUUAUCAGGAAGCAUGGUUUAGAAUUGUAGUCAGCUCAUUACUGAGCCAUUAGGAAACUGGUUCCAGCAGCAGAACUAUUAAUGAGCUGGUUUCAAGUAGUGUGUGUGCAUUGUGAUUACUCGGCGCUCUGCCUCAGUUUAAUUAAGAUUUUAAAUUUACAUUGUGCCAUUCAACUGUGUGUUGCACUAGUGUUUAUAAAAAUGAAUAGAUUUAAUUGUCCUCAUUUUAUAGGUCAGGCCACGGUGUCAUUUAAGGGUCAAGGGACAAGACUGAAGCCACCCAUCCCCUGAAGCAAUAUGGAUCUGUUGCUCAACCUGCAGGGUGGCAUUUCUUCCGAAUGACUGAGAAAAUGAUUGCGUGGACGUUUACAGACGCUGAACAAAACAAUUACAAUAAUAUUAUUUAGUAGACCUACAGUACCUGGUUUGAUGUAUUUGUUGAGAUUUGCAGAGAUCACAAAAAAAGCUUCCUAUCUGUAGAAGUGCAGUGGCCAAUUAAAAAUUUACCUUUGACAGGAAAAUGAUCAAAGUAAUUGAAGUGGUUUCUCACAGCUUUAAAGAAAAAAGAAAGAUAAUCACAUAAUAAGAAACACUAUUGUUCCUUCUGUCACACUGGCUUCAUAUUAUCAGCAAUUAUUUGAUGUUCUAAUCUUGCAAGCCUUAUGUAUAUGAGCAGUCAUGAGUAGCAUGAGCAAAGUUUGCUGAAACAAAUGAGCCUGGAAAGGUCAGAUCCCUGCCUUGAAUAAAUAGGUACAAAUGACAAUAUUGCUGUUUAAUCUCCUAGGUGUGGUGUGCUGCAUAAAAGUGCAGCAACUCUUGUGACAUUUCGGGUUUUUACUAAAUUUUAAAUAAAAUGUCCUUCUUGCUGUUUC
This is a non-coding RNA of Taeniopygia guttata (zebra finch), 3197 nucleotides long. NCBI's taxonomy places the organism in Eukaryota, Metazoa, Chordata, Aves, Passeriformes, Estrildidae. The record is from RefSeq and is a predicted model, not a curated record.